This is a non-coding RNA of Vicugna pacos (alpaca), 510 nucleotides long. NCBI's taxonomy places the organism in Eukaryota, Metazoa, Chordata, Mammalia, Artiodactyla, Camelidae. The record is from RefSeq and is a predicted model, not a curated record.
GGGUUAAAAAAAAAAAAACCUGUCAAACUCGAACUCAAUAUUAUUCUCCCAAUGGUUGUGUCCAUGCAUCCUCUGCUGGCCUCCCCCACCUUAUUCAGAAAUAGAUACUGCUCCUUGACCAAAAGGAUGGUAGAUGUCUGAAGCUGAGCACAUCCUAGAAACUCAUUCCCUCUGUUCACAUGAUUGGUCCAGAGAGUAGGCACAGAAACUAAGAAAGACAGAAAUCGCUUUGGUCACUCUCCGUCCUGCCCUCUCCAUGCUUUGCAGAUGCAUCCUCUUUGUUUUUGUUCCUUGCAUCUGAGAGUCUUGAAAGGGAGCUUUUGGAAGAAAUAAGGAGGGGGAGAGAGAGAGACAGAGAAAGAGUGGGGACGGUGGGGGAGGACACUCUAAGAAGUUCUACUCAGAGUUCAUUUUUUUACUGACUGGAGGUGUAGGAGUGGUAGAGGGCAGAUGGAAUGUGCGGACUGAAAAGAUGUAGCCCAACCACUGUGAAAGCAAUGUAAGACAGAG